This 427-nucleotide small RNA is filed under the name Culex tritaeniorhynchus. RNAcentral's name for it is "eukaryotic LSU rRNA". The stretch from base 2 to 122 matches the Rfam family "5.8S ribosomal RNA", at positions 32 to 154 of the family's 154-position model. The record is from RNAcentral. Lineage: Eukaryota; Metazoa; Arthropoda; Insecta; Diptera; Culicidae.
GAUCGAUGAAGACCGCAGCUAAAUGCGCGUCAGAAUGUGAACUGCAGGACACAUGAACACCGACAAGUUGAACGCAUAUUGCACAUCGUACAACAGUACGAUGUACACAUUUUUGAGUGCCUAUAUUUAUCUAUUCAACUGUGUGUGCUCUCUCUCGCGGGGGGGCACGCACGCAGCAUGGUGUUUUACUGCCUUCGGUGGCUGGUAAAACAUUUAAGAUACUCCCGGUUCGGGUGCGACGACCAUCACUGGCGCGCGACACGACGUGAGAAUACAUCCCACACACCAACCUGGCUUGGGCGCCGAUGUAAACUCUCUCAGUCAUCCGAUGUCGCGGUGCCGCGUCCGCCCACCACAUGAACCGUAUCUGAUAAAUCCAUGUAGGCCUCAAAUAAUGUGUGACUACCCCCUAAAUUUAAGCAUAUUA